CAGUAGCCACGGGAAUACGAAGGGUGCAAGCGUUAAUCGGAAUUACUGGGCGUAAAGCGUGCGUAGGCGGUUUGUUAGGUCUGCUGUGAAAUCCCCGAGCUUAACUCGGGAACUGCAUUUGAAACUGGCAGGCUAGAGUCUCGUAGAGGGGGGUAGAAUUCCAGGUGUAGCGGUGAAAUGCGUAGAGAUCUGGAGGAAUACCGGUGGCGAAGGCGGCCCCCUGGACAAAGACUGACGCUCAGGUGCGAAAGCGUGGGGAGCAAACAGGAUUAGAUACCCGUGUAGUCCCUGUCUCUUAUAC
Molecule: ribosomal RNA, 301 nt
Filed under: uncultured bacterium
Lineage: Bacteria
Description: partial 16S ribosomal RNA
Rfam family: Bacterial small subunit ribosomal RNA
Source: RNAcentral